Molecule: ribosomal RNA, 487 nt
Filed under: Neisseria sp. oral taxon 014
Lineage: Bacteria; Pseudomonadati; Pseudomonadota; Betaproteobacteria; Neisseriales; Neisseriaceae
Description: bacterial SSU rRNA
Rfam family: Bacterial small subunit ribosomal RNA
Source: RNAcentral
AUUGAACGCUGGCGGCAUGCUUUAACACAUGCAAAGUCGAACGGCAGCGGGUUAGUGCUUGCAUUACUGCCGGCGAGUGGCGAACGGGUGAGUAACAUAUCGGAACGUACCGAGCAGUGGGGGAUAACUAAUCGAAAGAUUAGCUAAUACCGCAUAUAUUCUGAGGAAGAAAGCAGGGGACCUUUGGGCCUUGCGCUGUUUGAGCGGCCGAUAUCUGAUUAGCUGGUUGGUGGGGUAAAGGCCUACCAAGGCGACGAUCAGUAGCGGGUCUGAGAGGAUGAUCCGCCACACUGGGACUGAGACACGGCCCAGACUCCUACGGGAGGCAGCAGUGGGGAAUUUUGGACAAUGGGGGCAACCCUGAUCCAGCCAUGCCGCGUGUCUGAAGAAGGCCUUCGGGUUGUAAAGGACUUUUGUCCGGGAAGAAAAGCGCGAUGUUAAUACCAUUGCGUGCUGACGUACCGGAAGAAUAAGCACCGCUAAUACC